AGACCGCCCAUUUCAGUGGGCCUCUGUGUUUGGAGAGAUGAACUUCUAAAGACUGGAACACUUCCUCCUGUCCGGCCAGAAGAGAUUUCCUGACACCACAGCUGGAAACCCGUGUGCAUUUCAGUUCAGGAAAGAAUGCGCGGUUUUCCCUAUAUCCGGAACUCGCCCCUGCGCAUUCCAAUACCUGAAGCGACCACAGGGUACGGGACAUGGAGCCCUGCGACAGUAAGAGUCGCGGCGCUAGACAAAGCCUGAUAUCACUCCGCUUCCAGAAGCCGGAUCCCCAUAAACUACGCUCUAGCUCCUCCCACUGCCGAUGUGGGUAACCCGGACGAGGAAGAACCUCGUCUGCGGAGGAAAAGUCCCAGGUGCCGGGUCAGUCUCCAUACACAGCCGCCGCCAUUGCCUCGAGUCCUUGUGUCUGACUGUCUGUUCCUGCUGCUGUAUGACACAGCACCUCGAGGCAAGGAAACAAGAAAACUGCCUCUGA
This 490-nucleotide long non-coding RNA is filed under the name Piliocolobus tephrosceles (Ugandan red Colobus). RNAcentral's name for it is "lncRNA (ENSPTEG00000024321.1)". The record is from RNAcentral. Lineage: Eukaryota; Metazoa; Chordata; Mammalia; Primates; Cercopithecidae.